RNAcentral lists this transfer RNA (82 nucleotides) under Gronococcus sybilensis. RNAcentral's name for it is "tRNA-Leu". It matches the Rfam family "tRNA". Rfam says of the family: Transfer RNA (tRNA) molecules are approximately 80 nucleotides in length. Their secondary structure includes four short double-helical elements and three loops (D, anti-codon, and T loops). Further hydrogen bonds mediate the characteristic L-shaped molecular structure. tRNAs have two regions of fundamental functional importance: the anti-codon, which is responsible for specific mRNA codon recognition, and the 3' end, to which the tRNAs corresponding amino acid is attached (by aminoacyl-tRNA synthetases). tRNAs cope with the degeneracy of the genetic code in two manners: having more than one tRNA (with a specific anti-codon) for a particular amino acid; and 'wobble' base-pairing, i.e. permitting non-standard base-pairing at the 3rd anti-codon position. The record is from RNAcentral. Lineage: Eukaryota; Rhodophyta; Bangiophyceae; Cavernulicolales; Cavernulicolaceae.
GGGUAGAUGGCGAAAUUGGUAGACGCAUCACACUCAAAAUGUGACGACUUUUGUUUUGUGGGUUCAAGUCCCACUCUACCCA